Molecule: ribosomal RNA, 468 nt
Filed under: uncultured bacterium
Lineage: Bacteria
Description: partial 16S ribosomal RNA
Rfam family: Bacterial small subunit ribosomal RNA
Source: RNAcentral
GACGAACGCUGGCGGCGUGCUUAACACAUGCAAGUCGAACGGAAAGGCCCUGCUUUUGUGGGGUGCUCGAGUGGCGAACGGGUGAGUAACACGUGAGUAACCUGCCCUUGACUUUGGGAUAACUUCAGGAAACUGGGGCUAAUACCGGAUAGGAGCUCCUGCUGCAUGGUGGGGGUUGGAAAGUUUCGGCGGUUGGGGAUGGACUCGCGGCUUAUCAGCUUGUUGGUGGGGUAGUGGCUUACCAAGGCUUUGACGGGUAACCGGCCUGAGAGGGUGACCGGCCACAUUGGGACUGAGAUACGGCCCAGACUCCUACGGGAGGCAGCAGUGGGGAAUAUUGCACAAUGGGCGGAAGCCUGAUGCAGCAACGCCGCGUGCGGGAUGACGGCCUUCGGGUUGUAAACCGCUUUCGCCUGUGACGAAGCGUGAGUGACGGUAAUGGGUAAAGAAACACCGGCUAACUACGUG